UGCCAGCAGCCGCGGUAAUACGAGGGGUGCAAGCGUUAAUCGGAAUUACUGGGCGUAAAGCGUACGCAGGCGGUUUUUUAAGCCAGAUGUGAAAGCCCCGGGCUCAACCUGGGAAUAGCAUUUGGAACUGGGGAACUAGAGUCUUGUAGAGGGGGGUAGAAUUUCAGGUGUAGCGGUGAAAUGCGUAGAGAUCUGAAGGAAUACCGGUGGCGAAGGCAUUCUGCUGGUCAUUACCUGACGCUGAGGGACGAAAGCGUGGGGAGCGAACGGGAUUAGAUA
Molecule: ribosomal RNA, 279 nt
Filed under: uncultured bacterium
Lineage: Bacteria
Description: partial 16S ribosomal RNA
Rfam family: Bacterial small subunit ribosomal RNA
Source: RNAcentral